This 330-nucleotide ribosomal RNA is filed under the name uncultured bacterium. RNAcentral describes it as "bacterial SSU rRNA". It matches the Rfam family "Bacterial small subunit ribosomal RNA", at positions 18 to 344 of the family's 1533-position model. The record is from RNAcentral.
CAUGGCUCAGAUUGAACGCUGGCGGCAUGCUUUACACAUGCAAGUCGAACGGCAGCGGGGUAGUGCUUGCACUACUGCCGGCGAGUGGUGAACGGGUGAGUAAUAUAUUGGAACGUACCGAGUAAUGGGGGAUAACCAAUCGAAAGAUUGGCUAAUACCGCAUACGCUCUGAGGAGGAAAGUAGGGGACCUUCGGGCCUUGCGUUAUUCGAGCGGCCAAUAUCUGAUUAGCUAGUUGGUGGGGUAAAGGCCUACCAAGGCGACGAUCAGUAGCGGGUCUGAGAGGAUGAUCCCGCACACCGGGACCUAAACACGGCCCAGACUCCUACGG